RNAcentral lists this ribosomal RNA (441 nucleotides) under uncultured bacterium. RNAcentral describes it as "partial 16S ribosomal RNA". It matches the Rfam family "Bacterial small subunit ribosomal RNA", at positions 338 to 795 of the family's 1533-position model. The record is from RNAcentral.
CCUACGGGAGGCAGCAGUGGGGAAUAUUGUACAAUGGGGGAAACCCUGAUGCAGCGACGCCGCGUGAGUGAAGAAGUAUUUCGGUAUGUAAAGCUCUAUCAGCAGGGAAGAAGAAAGACGGUACCUGACUAAGAAGCCCCGGCUAACUACGUGCCAGCAGCCGCGGUAAUACGUAGGGGGCAAGCGGUAUCCGGAUUUACUGGGUGGAAAGGGGGCGUAGACGGGUGUGCAAGUCUGAAGUGAAAGCACAGGGCUCAACCCUGGGACUGCUUUGGAAAAUGUAGAGCUAGAGUGCUGGAGAGGUAAGUGGAAUGCCUAGUGUAGCGGUGAAAUGCGUAGAUAUUAGGAGGAACACCAGUGGCGAAGGCGGCUUACUGGACAGUAACUGACGUUGAGGCUCGAAAGCGUGGGGAGCAAACAGGAUUAGAUACCCCUGUAGUA